RNAcentral lists this long non-coding RNA (307 nucleotides) under Androctonus crassicauda. Lineage: Eukaryota; Metazoa; Arthropoda; Arachnida; Scorpiones; Buthidae. The record is from RNAcentral.
AGGGUGGGGCCGCGUUUUUUAGCCAUUUUUACUUGGGUAUGUUUUAUGGCGUUGGAGAGGAUUUGGUCCAAGGCUGGAUGAUAUGUAACUGGCACAUAUAUGGAAUGGUUUGUCUGGCUAUUUUUUUUGCUUGGGUGGCUGCUUAUUGCCAUCUAUUACUUUUUUCCAUAUACCUUCCAUGACCUUAUUAGAGUAACCAUAUUUGUAUCCGUGGGAAUAAAUAUAAUUGUGCUCUUUAAGUUUAUCACUCCAUUUAGUAGUGUGGGUGAAUAUUCUAGCAAAGAAUGCUUUAAAUGCAGCUACCUUA